Molecule: non-coding RNA, 470 nt
Organism: Callorhinus ursinus (northern fur seal)
Lineage: Eukaryota; Metazoa; Chordata; Mammalia; Carnivora; Otariidae
Source: RefSeq, a predicted model, not a curated record
CAAGUCCUUACUGGUCCCGACCCGGCCACGUAAACUAUUUCCGCAGCUAUGCCACGCCCGCGGGGGGAGUCCCCUCCUACGGAUUCCACCUCAUCUUGUCCUUCGCGCUGGACGCGCUCAGAGUCGAUUGGAGAUGGGGAAGCAGAGGCCCAGAGAGAUGACUUGCUCUAGGGCAAGCCAGCCGCCAUGUUGUGAGGAUACUCAAGCAGUGCUAUGGUCUAUGUGGAGAGGAACUGAGGCCUCCUCCUGCCAACACUGACUUGCCAGGCAUAUGAGUGAGCCACGUUGCAGAUGGAUCUUCUAGUCCAAGUCAAGCCUUCACAUGACUGCAGCCUGAUGUUUGACUGCAACCUCUUUGAGACACCUAGCUCAGUCAGAACUACCUAGCUCCCAAAUUCCUGAUUGACAGCACCUGUGAUCUAAUAAAUGUUUUAGGCCAAUUAAUUAUAAUGUAAUAAAUAACUGACCCA